ACGGAGGGUGCAAGCGUUGUUCGGAAUUACUGGGCGUAAAGGGCGCGUAGGCGGUUUGGUAAGUCAGAUGUGAAAUCCCUGGGCUCAACCUGGGAAUUGCAUCUGAUACUGCCUGACUCGAGUACGGCAGAGGGUAGUGGAAUUCCUGGUGUAGAGGUGAAAUUCGUAGAUAUCAGGAGGAACACCGGUGGCGAAGGCGGCUACCUGGACCGAUACUGACGCUGAGGCGCGAAAGCGUGGGGAGCAAACAG
Molecule: ribosomal RNA, 251 nt
Filed under: uncultured prokaryote
Description: partial 16S rRNA
Rfam family: Bacterial small subunit ribosomal RNA
Source: RNAcentral